This 72-nucleotide transfer RNA is filed under the name Lachnospiraceae bacterium. RNAcentral's name for it is "tRNA-Gln". It matches the Rfam family "tRNA". From Rfam's summary of the family: Transfer RNA (tRNA) molecules are approximately 80 nucleotides in length. Their secondary structure includes four short double-helical elements and three loops (D, anti-codon, and T loops). Further hydrogen bonds mediate the characteristic L-shaped molecular structure. tRNAs have two regions of fundamental functional importance: the anti-codon, which is responsible for specific mRNA codon recognition, and the 3' end, to which the tRNAs corresponding amino acid is attached (by aminoacyl-tRNA synthetases). tRNAs cope with the degeneracy of the genetic code in two manners: having more than one tRNA (with a specific anti-codon) for a particular amino acid; and 'wobble' base-pairing, i.e. permitting non-standard base-pairing at the 3rd anti-codon position. Lineage: Bacteria; Bacillati; Bacillota; Clostridia; Lachnospirales; Lachnospiraceae. The record is from RNAcentral.
AGGGCUAUCGCCAAGGGGUAAGGCACAAGAUUUUGAUUCUUGCAUUCGCUGGUUCAAAUCCAGCUAGCCCUG